RNAcentral lists this ribosomal RNA (706 nucleotides) under Acinetobacter baumannii. RNAcentral describes it as "bacterial SSU rRNA". It matches the Rfam family "Bacterial small subunit ribosomal RNA", at positions 114 to 815 of the family's 1533-position model. Lineage: Bacteria; Pseudomonadati; Pseudomonadota; Gammaproteobacteria; Moraxellales; Moraxellaceae. The record is from RNAcentral.
UGCUUAGGAAUCUGCCUAUUAGUGGGGGACAACAUCUCGAAAGGGAUGCUAAUACCGCAUACGUCCUACGGGAGAAAGCAGGGGAUCUUCGGACCUUGCGCUAAUAGAUGAGCCUAAGUCGGAUUAGCUAGUUGGUGGGGUAAAGGCCUACCAAGGCGACGAUCUGUAGCGGGUCUGAGAGGAUGAUCCGCCACACUGGGACUGAGACACGGCCCAGACUCCUACGGGAGGCAGCAGUGGGGAAUAUUGGACAAUGGGGGGAACCCUGAUCCAGCCAUGCCGCGUGUGUGAAGAAGGCCUUAUGGUUGUAAAGCACUUUAAGCGAGGAGGAGGCUACUUUAGUUAAUACCUAGAGAUAGUGGACGUUACUCGCAGAAUAAGCACCGGCUAACUCUGUGCCAGCAGCCGCGGUAAUACAGAGGGUGCGAGCGUUAAUCGGAUUUACUGGGCGUAAAGCGUGCGUAGGCGGCUUAUUAAGUCGGAUGUGAAAUCCCCGAGCUUAACUUGGGAAUUGCAUUCGAUACUGGUGAGCUAGAGUAUGGGAGAGGAUGGUAGAAUUCCAGGUGUAGCGGUGAGAUGCGUAGAGAUCUGGAGGAAUACCGAUGGCGAAGGCAGCCAUCUGGCCUAAUACUGACGCUGAGGUACGAAAGCAUGGGGAGCAAACAGGAUUAGAUACCCUGGUAGUCCAUGCCGUACACGAUGUCUA